Molecule: ribosomal RNA, 213 nt
Filed under: uncultured bacterium
Lineage: Bacteria
Description: partial 16S ribosomal RNA
Rfam family: Bacterial small subunit ribosomal RNA
Source: RNAcentral
AUAGGUAGGGGNCCUGAGAUGGGGAUCCCCCACACUGGUACUGAGACACGGACCAGACUCCUACGGGAGGCAGCAGUGAGGAAUAUUGGACAAUGGAGGGAACUCUGAUCCAGCCAUGCCGCGUGCAGGAAGACUGCCCUAUGGGUUGUAAACUGCUUUUAUACGGGAAGAAACACCGCUACGUGUAGCGGCUUGACGGUACCGUAAGAAUAA